GUAGUCCCAGCCACUCAGGAGGCUGAGGCAGGAGGAUCAUCAGAGCCUGGGAGGUCAAGGCUGCAGUGAGCUGUGGGCGACAAGAGUGAGACCCUGUAUCAAAAAAAGGAGACCUGAGGAGGGCCUUGAGCAGAUACAUCUCCUCUCUCAUCCACUCAGGUGGCCACUAACACGGACACCAGCCGAAAUGCCGGAAAUGCGGUCCUGUUUGAGACAGUACUCACCAUCAUGGAUAUCCGCUCUGCAGCUGGCCUACGGGUAUCACCCCUUAUGCCUCUCCCACUACGGCCCCGCCCACCACCUCACCCACACAGGUCCUGCUUGCUGGUUUCUCCCUCCUAGCCCCAUCAUCUUGCGCCAGUGUGUUCCCAGUCCUCAAUGGCUGAGCAGGUUGCUCCUUUCCUGACUGACCCCAACUUCUGCCUCUCAUAGGUUCUAGCUGUCAACAUUCUUGGCCGCUUCCUACUCAACAGUGACAGGAACAUUAGGACAGGACGGGGAGUGGGGGCUGAUGGCCAUGGUAUGAUAGAACCUCCCCCAUCCUGACCAGGUAUGUAGCCCUGACAUCACUGCUUCGACUGGUGCAGUCUGAUCACAGUGCUGUGCAGCGGCAUCGGCCCACUGUGGUGGAAUGUCUACGGGAAACUGAUGCCUCCCUCAGCCGGUGAGCAGUGA
RNAcentral lists this small RNA (675 nucleotides) under Pan troglodytes (chimpanzee). RNAcentral's name for it is "retained intron". The record is from RNAcentral. Lineage: Eukaryota; Metazoa; Chordata; Mammalia; Primates; Hominidae.